This 1051-nucleotide ribosomal RNA is filed under the name uncultured bacterium. RNAcentral describes it as "bacterial SSU rRNA". It matches the Rfam family "Bacterial small subunit ribosomal RNA", at positions 83 to 1162 of the family's 1533-position model. The record is from RNAcentral.
UAGCAAUACCUAGUGGCGGACGGGUGAGUAACGCGUGGGAAUCUGCCCAAGGGUGGGGGAUAACUAACCGAAAGGUUAGCUAAUACCGCAUAUGCCGUGAGGUAAAAGGAGUAAUCCGCCCCUGGAUGAGCCUGCGUCCGAUUAGCUUGUUGGUAGGGUAAAAGCCUACCAAGGCUACGAUCGGUAGCUGGUCUGAGAGGAUGAUCAGCCACAAUGGGACUGAGACACGGCCCAUACUCCUACGGGAGGCAGCAGUGGGGAAUUUUACGCAAUGGGGGAAACCCUGACGUAGCGACACCGCGUGAGCGAAGAAGCCCUCUGGGGUGUAAAGCUCUGUCAGCAGGGACGAAAAAAAUGACGGUACCUGCAGAGGAAGCAUCGGCUAACUACGUGCCAGCAGCCGCGGUAAGACGUAGGAUGCAAGCGUUGUCCGGAUUCAUUGGGCGUAAAGAGUUCGUAGGCGGUUUGUUAAGUCUGAUGUUAAAGAUCAGGGCCCAACCCUGAGAGUGCAUUGGAUACUGGCAGACUGGAGUGCAGUAGAGGCAAGUGGAAUUCCCAGUGUAGCGGUGAAAUGCGUAGAUAUUGGGAAGAACACCGGUGGCGCAGGCGACUUGCUGGGCUGUAACUGACGCUGAGGAACGAAAGCUAGGGGAGCAAAUGGGAUUAGAUACCCCAGUAGUCCUAGCUGUAAACGAUGGAUACUAGGCGUUGCAGGUAUCGACCCCUGCAGUGCCGCAGUUAACGCGAUAAGUAUCCCGCCUGAGUAGUACGGCCGCAAGGUUGAAACUCAAAGGAAUUGACGGGGGCCCGCACAAGCGGUGGAACAUGUGGUUUAAUUCGAAGCAACGCGAAGAACCUUACCAGGGCUUGACAUCUGUAGAACCUUUCGGAAACGAGAGGGUGCUCGCAAGAGAGCUACAAGACAGGUGGUGCAUGGCUGUCGUCAGCUCGUGUCGUGAGAUGUUGGGUUAAGUCCCGCAACGAGCGCAACCCCCGUUGCUAGUUGCCAUCAGGUAAUGCUGGGCACUCUAGCGAGACUGCCGGUGACAAA